Molecule: ribosomal RNA, 301 nt
Filed under: uncultured bacterium
Lineage: Bacteria
Description: partial 16S ribosomal RNA
Rfam family: Bacterial small subunit ribosomal RNA
Source: RNAcentral
CAGUCGCCACGGUAAUACAGAGGGUGCGAGCGUUAAUCGGAUUUACUGGGCGUAAAGCGUGCGUAGGCGGCUUUUUAAGUCGGAUGUAAAAUCCCUGAGCUUAACUUAGGAAUUGCAUUCGAUACUGGGAAGCUAGAGUAUGGGAGAGGAUGGUAGAAUUCCAGGUGUAGCGGUGAAAUGCGUAGAGAUCUGGAGGAAUACCGAUGGCGAAGGCAGCCAUCUGGCCUAAUACUGACGCUGAGGUACGAAAGCAUGGGGAGCAAACAGGAUUAGAUACCCCUGUAGUCCCUGUCUCUUAUAC